Molecule: unclassified non-coding RNA, 1622 nt
Filed under: Pomacea canaliculata
Lineage: Eukaryota; Metazoa; Mollusca; Gastropoda; Architaenioglossa; Ampullariidae
Description: serine/threonine-protein kinase PAK mbt-like, transcript variant X1
Source: RNAcentral
GCAGUUUACACCUGAAGCACCUGAGACGAGCGGCGGCCAUGCAGCGCCCUCUGUCAAGUUCCCGGAUGCACGGCAAUGGCCUCAAUUAAAAUGGCGACGAGCCUGUUGCACUAAUUUCUUGGAUAUUUACACCUGGCUUCGUCUGUCCUACAGGCAAUAGGCCAUAAACAUGUUUGGAAAAAACAAGAAAAAGAAAGGGCUGGAGAUUUCAGCCCCUUCCAACUUUCAACACCGGGUCCACACUGGCUUUGACAGAGAACAUGGUGUCUUUGUUGGCUUGCCUGCUCAGUGGGCUGGCAUCAUUGGUGUGGAAAAGGAGAGGCCACGCCCCAUUGUGGAUCCAUCCUCUAUCACCCAAAUGGAGGUUAUCAAGACAAUUGUAAGAGGAAAUUCUGGUUCAAGCACAAAUGGGUUCCCACAAGACUAUAAAACUAUUAGCAUUGCACGCUCUAACUCACUGCGACGAGAAAGUCCACCUCCAUACCGGCGAAAAUAUCAAGGCAAUGAUUACCCUUCUGUGCCUGAGGAUGAAAUGAUCUCCCCUCACUAUCAGGACUACCCAGGCCCACAGCAUCAGGGACAGCAACCCUACUAUCCCCAUGAUCCAAGAGACUUUCCUGGUGAUCGCCUACCAUAUAAUUAUGGUCGUGACCAACGAGAGCAAGGCAGAUAUCCACAUGAUCAGGAUGGAAGAGCUAUGUUGGAUCAAGAUUCACGCCGAGGAGAUUAUGAUUUUCAAGAUGGCAGAAAUCCACGAACGGAUUCACGGAACUAUCGUCAGGAUCCUCGUGACUAUGGCCAUGGCGAUGGACAUCGCGAAAGACCUCAGCAGCAGCAGCAGUACGCAGACUAUGACAAGCGAUUUAAUAACUCAUAUGAUCGUGACACAAGCAGAGACACUUCAUUUGACAAAGAUCCAUAUUACCGUGGUGACAAGCCAAGAGACAACCUGUCUCCCAACAACCAGUACAUGGAUGGCAGAAAAUCUUCGCAAUGGAUGACAAAUUCCGACAGGGCCUUCCUAAUGGAGGACCACAGGGUAGCCCACAUAAGCAGGGCAUGCCACCCUCACAGUACCAGGACAAGCAGAGCUACAGCACCAACAGCAUUCCUCGUUCACAAGCUGCAGAACAGUACCAGAGGAGUGGAGGCCCAAGCCCUCCAAAAUCACCAAGCCAGCAUAGCUCUUCGCCACAACCCGUCAGUAGUGCCCCUCACACAGGCCAGAGUCCACCCAAAUCCCCAUCAGCCCACACCCAUGGCCCUAUGCCAGAGCAGCAGAGGCUGUCCCAUGAACAGUUUCGUGCAGCUCUUCAGAUGGUGGUUAAUCCAGGUGACCCACGCACAUUUUUGGACAAUUUCAUGAAAAUAGGCGAGGGGUCAACUGGUAUUGUGUGCAUAGCAACCACCAAACCAAAUGGAGCGCAGGUUGCUGUUAAGAAAAUGGAUCUUCGUAAACAGCAGCGCAGGGAAUUGCUUUUUAACGAGGUGGUUGUCAUGCGGGAUUAUCACCAUCCCAACAUUGUGGACAUGUACAACAGCUACCUUGUCAACGAUGAGCUGUGGGUGGUGAUGGAGUUCAUGGAGGGAGGAGCACUGACAGACAUUGUAACUAAUACCAG